AAAGAAUCUCGGUCAAGGAUGGACUAGCGGCCUAUCAGCUAGUUGGUGAGGUAAUGGCCCACCAAGGCGACGACGGGUAGCCGGCCUGAGAGGGUGACCGGCCACACUGGGACUGAGACACGGCCCAGACUCCUACGGGAGGCAGCAGUGGGGAAUAUUGCACAAUGGGCGCAAGCCUGAUGCAGCAACGCCGCGUGAGGGACGACGGCCUUCGGGUUGUAAACCUCUUUUAGUAGGGAAGAAGCGAGGUGUUUAUUCACCUCAUGACGGUACCUGCAGAAAAAGCACCGGCUAACUACGCGCCAGCAGCCGCGGUAAUACGUAGGGUGCAAGCGUUAUCCGGAAUUAUUGGGCGUAAAGAGCUCGUAGGCGGUUUGUCGCGUCUGCUGUGAAAACUGGAGGCUCAACCUCCAGCCUGCAGUGGGUACGGGCAGACUAGAGUGCGGUAGGGGAGAUUGGAAUUCCUGGUGUAGCGGUGGAAUGCGCAGAUAUCAGGAGGAACACCGAUGGCGAAGGCAGAUCUCUGGGCCGUAACUGACGCUGAGGAGCGAAAGCGUGGGGAGCGAACAGGAUUAGAUACCCUGGUAGUCCACGCCGUAAACGUUGGGAACUAGAUGUAGGGACCAUUCCACGGUUUCUGUGUCGCAGCUAACGCAUUAAGUUCCCCGCCUGGGGAGUACGGCCGCAAGGCUAAAACUCAAAGGAAUUGACGGGGGCCCACACAAGCGGCGGAGCAUGCGGAUUAAUUCGAUGCAACGCGAAGAACCUUACCAAGGCUUGACAUAUACCGGAAAAGUUCAGAAAUGUUCUCCCCGCAAGGCCGGUAUACAGGUGGUGCAUGGUUGUCGUCAGCUCGUGUCGUGAGAUGUUGGGUUAAGUCCCGCAACGAG
This 890-nucleotide ribosomal RNA is filed under the name uncultured bacterium. RNAcentral's name for it is "bacterial SSU rRNA". It matches the Rfam family "Bacterial small subunit ribosomal RNA", at positions 202 to 1096 of the family's 1533-position model. The record is from RNAcentral.